CACGUAGUUAGCCGGAGCUUAUUCUACAGGUACUGUCUUUUUUCUUCCCUGUCUAAAGCAGUUUACAAUCCGAAAACCUUCUUCCUGCACGCGGCGUCACUGCGUCAGAGUUUCCUCCAUUGUGCAAUAUUCCCCACUGCUGCCUCCCGUAGGAGUCUGGGCCGUGUCUCAGUCCCAAUGUGGCCGUCCACUCUCUCAAGCCGGCUACUGAUCGUCGCCUUGGUGAGCCGUUACCUCACCAACCAGCUAAUCAGACGCGGGUCCAUCCCAUAGCGAUAAAUCUUUGAAGAAAAGAACAUGCGCUCUCUCCUUGUUAUGCGGUAUUAGCAGCCGUUUCCAGCUGUUGUCCCCCUCUAUGGGGCAGGUUCGCCCACGCGUUACUCACCCGUCCGCCACUCAGUCAUUACCAUCUUCCCUCCGAAAAGUUCCGUCGGUAGUGCUUCGUUCGACUUGCAUGUGUUAAGCACGCCGCAGCGUUCAUCCUGAGCCAGGAUCAAACU
This 500-nucleotide ribosomal RNA is filed under the name uncultured Lachnospiraceae bacterium. Its description in RNAcentral is "partial 16S ribosomal RNA". Lineage: Bacteria; Bacillati; Bacillota; Clostridia; Lachnospirales; Lachnospiraceae. The record is from RNAcentral.